This 253-nucleotide ribosomal RNA is filed under the name uncultured bacterium. Its description in RNAcentral is "partial 16S ribosomal RNA". It matches the Rfam family "Bacterial small subunit ribosomal RNA", at positions 524 to 776 of the family's 1533-position model. The record is from RNAcentral.
UACGUAGGGGGCAAGCGUUGUCCGGAAUUAUUGGGCGUAAAGAGCGCGUAGGCGGUCCGGUAAGUCGGUUGUGAAAGUCGGGGGCUCAACCCUCGGAUGCCGAUCGAUACUGUCGGGCUAGAGUCCGGAAGAGGCGAGUGGAAUUCCUGGUGUAGCGGUGAAAUGCGCAGAUAUCAGGAAGAACACCCGUGGCUAAGGCGGCUCUCUAGUACGGUACUGACGCUGAGGCGCGAAAGCUAGGGGAGCAAACGGG